This 87-nucleotide transfer RNA is filed under the name bacterium. RNAcentral describes it as "tRNA-Ser". It matches the Rfam family "tRNA". From Rfam's summary of the family: Transfer RNA (tRNA) molecules are approximately 80 nucleotides in length. Their secondary structure includes four short double-helical elements and three loops (D, anti-codon, and T loops). The record is from RNAcentral.
GGAGGGGUGUCCGAGCGGUUGAAGGAGCAGGUCUCGAAAACCUGUAUACCCGCAAGGGUAUCGAGGGUUCAAAUCCCUCCCCCUCCG